Molecule: small nucleolar RNA, 74 nt
Organism: Trypanosoma cruzi strain CL Brener
Lineage: Eukaryota; Euglenozoa; Kinetoplastea; Trypanosomatida; Trypanosomatidae
Rfam family: Trypanosomatid snoRNA TB11Cs4H3
Source: Rfam
AGCGCAGCGACCCUUGGGCCGGUGGCGCGCUGUCGGUGCCGCGCGUGGCGCCACUGCCCGGUUGCGCGAGAGUU